GACGAACGCUGGCGGCGUGCCUAACACAUGCAAGUCGAACGGAAAGGCCCUGCUUGCAGGGUGCUCGAGUGGCGAACGGGUGAGUAACACGUGGGUGAUCUGCCCCUUACUUUGGGAUAAGCCUGGGAAACUGGGUCUAAUACUGGAUAGGACCAUGCUGUAGGUGGUGUGGUGGAAAGAUUAGUUUCGGUAAGGGAUGAGCUCGCGGCCUAUCAGCUUGUUGGUGGGGUAAUGGCCUACCAAGGCGUCGACGGGUAGCCGGCCUGAGAGGGUGGACGGCCACAUUGGGACUGAGAGACGGCCCAGACUCCUACGGGAGGCAGCAGUGGGGAAUAUUGCACAAUGGGCGCAAGCCUGAUGCAGCGACGCCGCGUGGGGGAUGACGGCCUUCGGGUUGUAAACUCCUUUCAGCCAUGACGAAGCCCUUGUGGUGACGGUAGUGGUAGAAGAAGCACCGGCUAACUACGUG
Molecule: ribosomal RNA, 469 nt
Filed under: uncultured bacterium
Lineage: Bacteria
Description: partial 16S ribosomal RNA
Rfam family: Bacterial small subunit ribosomal RNA
Source: RNAcentral